UACACUGUAAGACAAGACGUGAAAGAGUAGUUCAAACAUUUCUGAGCCCAGUAAGGAUUUCAGGUUGGCGGUUGCACUCCACAUGCGUGACUGCAGAGUGAGCUGAAAUGGAAUUUGCUUGUGGGUACGUUUAUGUGCCACCGUCUGUGACUCAGAGAGACGUCCUGCAAUCCAACACUAAUGGCAAUAAACGCUCAGCUCUCCUUCCUCCUGUUUCCUGGCUUCGUCCCCGCACCGCUCCUCCUCCACCUCCAACAGAUUCUCCAAAAACCACAAAAGCAAAGCAACCCCACACGUAUGAGACCAAGAUUGAACUUUUAAAAGGGAACAAACAGGUCA
Long non-coding RNA from Nematolebias whitei (Rio pearlfish), 339 nucleotides. RefSeq lists it as uncharacterized. The record is from RefSeq and is a predicted model, not a curated record. NCBI's taxonomy places the organism in Eukaryota, Metazoa, Chordata, Actinopteri, Cyprinodontiformes, Rivulidae. The transcript is spliced from 3 exons.